GUAGGGAAUAUUGGGCAAUGGAUGCAAGUCUGACCCAGCCAUCCCGCGUGCCGGAAGAAGGCCCUCAGGGUUAUAAACGGCUUUUGACGGUGAAGAACCGACAGGAUGCGUCCUGUUUUGACGGUAGCCGUUGAAUAAGCACCGGCUAACUCCGUGCCAGCAGCCGCGGUAAUACGGAGGGUGCGAGCGUUGUCCGGAUUUAUUGGGUUUAAAGGGUGCGUAGGCUGGAAGGUCAGUCAGCGGUGAAAAGCUAUCGCUUAACGAUAGUCUUGCCGCAGAUACUUCCUUUCUUGGAUGAGGAGGAGGCCACUGGAACGGAUGGUGUAGCGGUGAAAUGCAUAGAUAUCAUCCAGAACACCGAUUGCGAAGGCAGGUGGCUGUACCUUAAUCGACGCUGAUGCACGAAAGCAUGGGGAGCAAACAGGAUUAGAAACCCGGGUAGUCC
This 445-nucleotide ribosomal RNA is filed under the name uncultured bacterium. RNAcentral's name for it is "partial 16S ribosomal RNA". It matches the Rfam family "Bacterial small subunit ribosomal RNA", at positions 354 to 796 of the family's 1533-position model. The record is from RNAcentral.